UGGGUCUAAUACCGGAUAUGACUCCUCAUCGCAUGGUGGGGGGUGGAAAGCUUUUUGUGGUUUUGGAUGGACUCGCGGCCUAUCAGCUUGUUGGUGAGGUAAUGGCUCACCAAGGCGACGACGGGUAGCCGGCCUGAGAGGGUGACCGGCCACACUGGGACUGAGACACGGCCCAGACUCCUACGGGAGGCAGCAGUGGGGAAUAUUGCACAAUGGGCGCAAGCCUGAUGCAGCGACGCCGCGUGAGGGAUGACGGCCUUCGGGUUGUAAACCUCUUUCAGUAGGGAAGAAGCGAAAGUGACGGUACCUGCAGAAGAAGCGCCGGCUAACUACGUGCCAGCAGCCGCGGUAAUACGUAGGGCGCAAGCGUUAUCCGGAAUUAUUGGGCGUAAAGAGCUCGUAGGCGGUUUGUCGCGUCUGCCGUGAAAGUCCGGGGCUCAACUCCGGAUCUGCGGUGGGUACGGGCAGACUAGAGUGAUGUAGGGGAGACUGGAAUUCCUGGUGUAGCGGUGAAAUGCGCAGAUAUCAGGAGGAACACCGAUGGC
Molecule: ribosomal RNA, 545 nt
Filed under: Arthrobacter sp.
Lineage: Bacteria; Bacillati; Actinomycetota; Actinomycetes; Micrococcales; Micrococcaceae
Description: bacterial SSU rRNA
Rfam family: Bacterial small subunit ribosomal RNA
Source: RNAcentral